This is a long non-coding RNA of Magallana angulata, 1070 nucleotides long. RefSeq lists it as uncharacterized. Lineage: Eukaryota; Metazoa; Mollusca; Bivalvia; Ostreida; Ostreidae. The record is from RefSeq and is a predicted model, not a curated record. The transcript has 2 exons.
AUUAAUUCUUUACUGACAGAUUAUAGUCACCUCUUGCUAUUAAACAAAAUUAUUUGCGAUUGAUAAAAAUUUUCGCAUUAUACAAAACAUUCUAAAUUAUCCUUAUUUUUGAAAAUUAUUUUGCAUUUAAUGAUGUCUUUCCGUAUGUCUAAGAAACUGUAUUCUGAAUACAGUUUUACACAGCUUUGGUAAAUCUUAUAGUUUGUUACUUGUAACAAAAAGGGGAAAAUUUCAUCGACAACUGUUCGCCUUAAAAUAAAACGAGAAAAGUAAUAUUAUGCAUUCAUUGAAUAAAAGCCAUUACUACCAGUUUAUACACUGUGUAUAAAUCAUCUUUUUACAAAUGAUAGUUUCAGUGAAUAUAGAUUUGAGAGAACAAAGUGCAAACAAAUUGUUAGGUAUUAUUGCGACAAACACUUCAGUGCUUUGCCCUUUUAAUUGUUUAUGUGUCACAAAGUUCGGUGCGCAAAUAAAUUAUCAUUGCGAUAUACACGAACACGCCACCUCUUGUUUUUGUCACAGAGGGUUUAUCAGUGACCACAUGUGGAAUUUACUGCCUGAUAACAUGACGUAGUAGCACAUGUCUCUUGAUUAGAAUUGUAUAUAAAAGGGAAUCCCUCUUAAUACACAGAACUCAAAUUGAAAAGAAAAAAAACACUGACAAACUGCAGAAUCACAAGGAAUCAAAGUCCAAUCUUCUCCAAAUUCAACAUGAAGGCUUGCAUGCUUUGUUUCUUGGUCCUGACCGUGUCUCUGUGUACGACUGCCACCACCACUGCCACUACCACCACCACUACCACAGAAGCGCCGUGCCCAAGUCGCUGCUACACUGCCAGCUCUUCCUGUAUGAACACCUGCUACAACACAAUUUCGACCAUCAUCAACAACAUCGGUAAACGUGAUGUCAUGGAAACAAUGGCCCGCCAAAGAAGAUUCAGUUGCUACGACACGUGUCGGUCAAUGUAUAACGCAUGCUGUGGAUCAAACUAAAUAAUGUUAAAUUUAAUCCAAAACAAUGUAUUUUCAACUUUAUUUUACUUUUUUAUUGAUUAAAAAACACUUGAAACCAA